UUAAGAGAAGAAGAGUCUACUGAGCUGGCCCAGUCAAACUGAUGGCAAUGGUCACUCUUCUUAGCCCUGUGUGACCACAAGGACCGUUCACCAUAACGCUUUUGGAUAACUCUUUCACCAGCUUCAGCAGGUGAAGAGGGAAAUGAGGACAGAGAAUGCAUAUACAUAAGGCGUGGGAAGCCUUCAUCACACCCACGUGUCUUCUGAGCCUUCCCAGGUGAUCCAGCGGUUCCCUACAUUUGACCUCAGGAUCCUUUGCCCGUGUCCAUACACUUUGCCACACUGUGUUUCCUCUAUUGGCAUCGUUUUGCAUAUGAUAGAGCUUCUGAAAAGAAAAACAAGUUCAUAUCACUGUUGCAGCUUGAACAAAAGAAGCAUGUCUUACACACAGCAGAGUCAAACUCCCUGUUGUAUGUGGUCAAAAUGCACCCAUGGUACUCAGAGUUUGACAGUGUUUUACUCUAAGGGGUUCCACAAAUAAAGCCAAUUAGUAAUUAUACUUUAUGAAAAGCUCAAUAACUGAGGAAAUACUGCAAUUUGUUUCAAGUACAAAAAACGGGCAUUGUCUGUGGUAAGAGAUGAUGGACUUUUUUCUUUCUGUAAAAUUUUAUGAACUCCUUCUACUUGUAAAACGAUAUUCCCUUCAUACGAAUGUAUGUUAAUGUUUUUAGAGCAAAACUAUUUAAAACUCACCCAGGAUAAAAUCAUCCCAGCUAACUUUCAUCCUUUGAGAAAAGAAAAUAUGAUAAAUUAGUUUUUAUUAUUCAUUUUAAUACAAAAUGGUUCUAAAAACUGAAAAUAAUAUAUACGCAUAUACAUUUAUUUAUUUACUCGGUGACAAUACUCAAAAAUUUUUAUGCAAAAUAUGUACUAUCGUUACAUCAACUGACAAGUGCCAAAAUACCUUGUUUUAAUGUUUUGGCAUGAUUGCACCUCAAUAUCACUUCUAUUCCAGAAAACAUAGAACUUUAACAUACUCAUAAUAUUCUGAAAAUAAAACAAAAGCUUACUCUUUGUAAAACAAAGUUUUGAAACAAGCUUUAAAAAAAGUGUCAAAUGUUUACAAAUAUAUAUGAUUGUGUUUAUGUGUGUACUAUAGAUCACCAGGGAGAAGAUUGAGUUUUGUUUUUGUUUUGUUAUUGUUUCAAUGUUCCUUCUCCUAAAGCCCAGUCAUUUUCUCCUUGUAAAUUCUUUCAGAUGCAUAAUUCCGUGAUAACUUCCUUCAUAGUCAUUCUUCAGUCUCUUCCUCAUCUACUUCACCCUGAAUGCUUCUGUGUGUUUAAUAUGCAUAGAACAUCAUUGUAACCAUAAAUUACUUGCUCUGAAGCUUAUAAUUAUUGUCUAUUCAUUCUCGUUCGGUUCAAUUUUUUUUAUUCUCCAAUCUUUAGUCUCUGUUUCAGUCAGGAAGAUUUUCUGUACCCACCUUUUUUAUGUCUGCUUUUGAACCUAUCAGAGAUGUUCCCACACCUUAAAAGUCUCCCUAGUUUUAUUAGUUAGGGUUCUGCAUACAGAUAGAAGCAACACUAUGUAGAUAGAUAUAUAAGAGGAAACUUACUGUGAGAAUUGGCUCACCUGAUUCUGGAGGCUGAGAAGUCUCCAGAUACGUCUUCCACAAGGUCAAGACCCAGGAAAGCCAGCGGGUUAACUCAUUCUGAGUCCCAAGGCCUGAGAACCGGAGGAACCAGUGUCAGACAGGAGAAGAUGGAUGUCAAGAAGAGCAGGAGAAUU
This 1728-nucleotide long non-coding RNA is filed under the name Homo sapiens (human). Its description in RNAcentral is "HSALNT0271923". Lineage: Eukaryota; Metazoa; Chordata; Mammalia; Primates; Hominidae. The record is from RNAcentral.